RNAcentral lists this small nuclear RNA (97 nucleotides) under Dasypus novemcinctus (nine-banded armadillo). The record is from RNAcentral. Lineage: Eukaryota; Metazoa; Chordata; Mammalia; Cingulata; Dasypodidae.
GCUUUGGUAGCAUAGACUAAAAUCAGAAUGAUACAAAGAAGAUUAAUAUGGGCCCUGUACAAAGAAGAAACAAAUUAGCAAAGUAUUCCAUAUAUUA